GUUGGUCAUAGGGCUCAAAGAGGAAGUAU
RNAcentral lists this non-coding RNA (29 nucleotides) under Cricetulus griseus (Chinese hamster). Lineage: Eukaryota; Metazoa; Chordata; Mammalia; Rodentia; Cricetidae. The record is from RNAcentral.